AGAGUUUGAUCAUGGCUCAGAACGUACGCUGGCGGCACGCCUAACACAUGCAAGUCGAACGAAGUAGCAAUACUUAGUGGCAGACGGGUGAGUAACAUGUGGGUAUCUGCCCUUUGGCCUGGAAUAACACGAGGAAACUUGUGCUAAUACUGGAUAAGUCUUUACGGAGAAAGCUUUAUGCACCAUUGGAUGAGCCCGCACUUGAUUAGUUUGUUGGUGGGGUAAUGGCCUACCAAGACUGUGAUCAAUAGCUGAUUUGAGAGGAUGAUCAGCCACAUUGGGACUGAGACACGGCCCAAACUCCUACGGGAGGCAGCAGUGGGGAAUCUUGCACAAUGGAGGAAACUCUGAUGCAGCGAUGCCGCGUGAGUGAAGAAGGCCCUUGGGUUGUAAAGCUCUUUCGUCGGGGAAGAAAAUGACUGUACCCGAAUAAGAAGGUCCGGCUAACUUCGUGCCAGCAGCCGCGGUAAUACGAAGGGACCUAGCGUAGUUCGGAAUUACUGGGCUUAAAGAGUUCGUAGGUGGUUGAAAAAGUUGGUGGUGAAAUCCCAGAGCUUAACUCUGGAACUGCCAUCAAAACUUUUCAGCUAGAGUUUGAUAGAGGAAAGCAGAAUUUCUAGUGUAGAGGUGAAAUUCGUAGAUAUUAGAAAGAAUACCAAUUGCGAAGGCAGCUUUCUGGAUCAUUACUGACACUGAGGAACGAAAGCAUGGGUAGCGAAGAGGAUUAGAUACCCUCGUAGUCCAUGCCGUAAACGAUGUGUGUUAGACGUUGGAAAUUUAUUUUCAGUGUCGCAGCGAAAGCGAUAAACACACCGCCUGGGGAGUACGACCGCAAGGUUAAAACUCAAAUGAAUUGACGGGGACCCGCACAAGUAGUGGAGCAUGUGGUUUAAUUCGAAGAUACGCGCAGAACCUUACCAACACUUGACAUGUUCGUCGUGACUUUAAGAGAUUAAAGUUUUCGGUUCGGCCGGACGAAACACAGGUGCUGCAUGGCUGUCGUCAGCUCGUGUCGUGAGAUGUUGGGUUAAGUCCCGCAACGAGCGCAACCCUCACUUUUAGUUGCCAUCAUUAAGUUGGGCACUCUGAAAGAACUGCCAGUGAUAAGCUGGAGGAAGGUGGGGAUGACGUCAAGUCCUCAUGGCCCUUACGUGUUGGGCUACACACGUGCUACAAUGGUAUCUACAACAGGAAGCGAAACAGCGAUGUUAAGCAAAUCCUUAAAAGAUACCUCAGUUCGGAUUGCACUCUGCAACUCGAGUGCAUGAAGCUGGAAUUACUAGUAAUCGUGGAUCAGCGUGCCACGGUGAAUGCGUUCCCGGGUCUUGUACACACCGCCCGUCACACCAUGGGAGUUGGUUCUACCUUAAGGCAAGGUUUAAUACCCUUGACCACGGUAUAGUCAGCGACUGGGGUGAAGUCGUAACAAGGUAGCCGUA
Molecule: ribosomal RNA, 1439 nt
Filed under: uncultured bacterium
Lineage: Bacteria
Description: bacterial SSU rRNA
Rfam family: Bacterial small subunit ribosomal RNA
Source: RNAcentral